This is a long non-coding RNA of Nymphalis io (European peacock), 443 nucleotides long. RefSeq lists it as uncharacterized. The record is from RefSeq and is a predicted model, not a curated record. The transcript is spliced from 2 exons. NCBI's taxonomy places the organism in Eukaryota, Metazoa, Arthropoda, Insecta, Lepidoptera, Nymphalidae.
CUCGUCCAUGCCCUCGCCGGUGUACCAAUGCAAGAAAGCCUUACGCCUGAACAUAGCGGUAAACUGCUCCGAGAUGCGCUUGAACAGCUCCUGGAUGGCGGUGGAGUUGCCGAUGAAGGUGGCGGCCAUUUUGAGGCCACGGGGUGGAAUAUCGCACACGGCGGUCUUGACGUUGUUGGGGAUCCAUUCGACGAAGUAUGAAGAGUUCUUGUUUUGGAUGUUGAGCAUCUGUUCGUCGACUUCCUUCAUGGACAUGCGACCACGGAAGAUGGCGGCGACGGUGAGGUAGCGGCCGUGACGUGGGUCGCAGGCCGCCAUCAUGUUCUUGGCGUCGAACAUUUGUUGGGUGAGUUCGGGUACGGUGAGGGCGCGGUAUUGUCUGCUUCCACGGGAUGUGAGAGGAGCGAAACCGGGCAUGAAGAAGUGGAGACGUGGGAAUGGAA